Molecule: ribosomal RNA, 768 nt
Filed under: uncultured bacterium
Lineage: Bacteria
Description: bacterial SSU rRNA
Rfam family: Bacterial small subunit ribosomal RNA
Source: RNAcentral
CUUGCUUCUCUUGAGAGCGGCGGACGGGUGAGUAAUGCCUAGGAAUCUGCCUGGUAGUGGGGGAUAACGUUCGGAAACGGACGCUAAUACCGCAUACGUCCUACGGGAGAAAGCAGGGGACCUUCGGGCCUUGCGCUAUCAGAUGAGCCUAGGUCGGAUUAGCUAGUUGGUGGGGUAAUGGCUCACCAAGGCUACGAUCCGUAACUGGUCUGAGAGGAUGAUCAGUCACACUGGAACUGAGACACGGUCCAGACUCCUACGGGAGGCAGCAGUGGGGAAUAUUGGACAAUGGGCGAAAGCCUGAUCCAGCCAUGCCGCGUGUGUGAAGAAGGUCUUCGGAUUGUAAAGCACUUUAAGUUGGGAGGAAGGGUUGUAGAUUAAUACUCUGCAAUUUUGACGUUACCGACAGAAUAAGCACCGGCUAACUCUGUGCCAGCAGCCGCGGUAAUACAGAGGGUGCAAGCGUUAAUCGGAAUUACUGGGCGUAAAGCGCGCGUAGGUGGUUUGUUAAGUUGGAUGUGAAAUCCCCGGGCUCAACCUGGGAACUGCAUUCAAAACUGACUGACUAGAGUAUGGUAGAGGGUGGUGGAAUUUCCUGUGUAGCGGUGAAAUGCGUAGAUAUAGGAAGGAACACCAGUGGCGAAGGCGACCACCUGGACUAAUACUGACACUGAGGUGCGAAAGCGUGGGGGAGCAAACAGGAUUAGAUACCCUUGGUAGUCCACGCCGUAAACGAUGUCAACUAGCCGUUGGGAAGCCUUUGAGCUU